RNAcentral lists this ribosomal RNA (256 nucleotides) under uncultured bacterium. Its description in RNAcentral is "partial 16S ribosomal RNA". It matches the Rfam family "Bacterial small subunit ribosomal RNA", at positions 524 to 776 of the family's 1533-position model. The record is from RNAcentral.
UACGUAGGGGGGCUAGCGUUGUCCGGAUUUAUUGGGCGUAAAGAGCGUGUAGGCGGCCAGGUAGGUCUGGUGUGAAAACUCGAGGCUUAACCUCGAGAUGUCAUCGGAAACCAUUUGGCUAGAGUCCGGAAGAGGAGAGUGGAAUUCCUGGUGUAGCGGUGAAAUGCGCAGAUAUCAGGAAGAACACCAAUGGCGAAAGCAGCUCUCUGGGACGGUACUGACGCUGAGACGCGAAAAGCGUGGGGGAGCGAACAGG